Molecule: transfer RNA, 16 nt
Filed under: Leptobrachium hasseltii (Java spadefoot toad)
Lineage: Eukaryota; Metazoa; Chordata; Amphibia; Anura; Megophryidae
Description: partial tRNA-Leu
Source: RNAcentral
AUUCCCCCCAUUAGCU